UACACACCGCCCGUCACACCAUGGGAGUUGGAUUCACUCGAAGGCGUUGAGCUAACCCGUAAGGGAGGCGAGGCGACCACAGGUGGGUUUAGCGACUGGGGUG
Molecule: ribosomal RNA, 103 nt
Filed under: uncultured bacterium
Lineage: Bacteria
Description: partial 16S ribosomal RNA
Source: RNAcentral